AGAGUUUGAUCAUGGCUCAGAACGAACGCUGGCGGCGUGGAUAAGACAUGCAAGUCGAACGAGAGAAUUGCUAGCUUGCUAAUAAUUCUCUAGUGGCGCACGGGUGAGUAACACGUGAGUAACCUGCCCCCGAGAGCGGGAUAGCCCUGGGAAACUGGGAUUAAUACCGCAUAGUAUCGAAAGAUUAAAGCAGCAAUGCGCUUGGGGAUGGGCUCGCGGCCUAUUAGUUAGUUGGUGAGGUAACGGCUCACCAAGGCGAUGACGGGUAGCCGGUCUGAGAGGAUGUCCGGCCACACUGGAACUGAGACACGGUCCAGACACCUACGGGUGGCAGCAGUCGAGAAUCAUUCACAAUGGGGGAAACCCUGAUGGUGCGACGCCGCGUGGGGGAAUGAAGGUCUUCGGAUUGUAAACCCCUGUCAUGUGGGAGCAAAUUAAAAAGAUAGUACCACAAGAGGAAGAGACGGCUAACUCUGUGCCAGCAGCCGCGGUAAUACAGAGGUCUCAAGCGUUGUUCGGAAUCACUGGGCGUAAAGCGUGCGUAGGCUGUUUCGUAAGUCGUGUGUGAAAGGCGCGGGCUCAACCCGCGGACGGCACAUGAUACUGCGAGACUAGAGUAAUGGAGGGGGAACCGGAAUUCUCGGUGUAGCAGUGAAAUGCGUAGAUAUCGAGAGGAACACUCGUGGCGAAGGCGGGUUCCUGGACAUUAACUGACGCUGAGGCACGAAGGCCAGGGGAGCGAAAGGGAUUAGAUACCCCUGUAGUCCUGGCAGUAAACGGUGCACGCUUGGUGUGCGGGGAAUCGACCCCCUGCGUGCCGGAGCUAACGCGUUAAGCGUGCCGCCUGGGGAGUACGGUCGCAAGAUUAAAACUCAAAGAAAUUGACGGGGACCCGCACAAGCGGUGGAGUAUGUGGCUUAAUUCGAUGCAACGCGAAGAACCUUACCUGGGCUUGACAUGUAAUGAACAACAUGUGAAAGCAUGCGACUCUUCGGAGGCGUUACACAGGUGCUGCAUGGCCGUCGUCAGCUCGUGUCGUGAGAUGUUUGGUUAAGUCCAGCAACGAGCGCAACCCCUGUUGCCAGUUACCAGCACGUGAAGGUGGGGACUCUGGCGAGACUGCCCAGAUCAACUGGGAGGAAGGUGGGGACGACGUCAGGUCAGUAUGGCCCUUAUGCCCAGGGCUGCACACGUACUACAAUGCCCAGUACAGAGGGGGCCGAAGCCGCGAGGCGGAGGAAAUCCUAAAAACUGGGCCCAGUUCGGACUGUAGGCUGCAACCCGCCUACACGAAGCCGGAAUCGCUAGUAAUGGCGCAUCAGCUACGGCGCCGUGAAUACGUUCCCGGGUCUUGUACACACCGCCCGUCACAUCAUGGAAGCCGGUCGCACCCGAAGUAUCUGAAGCCAACCGCAAGGAGGCAGGGUCCUAAGGUGAGACUGGUAACUGGGAUGAAGUCGUAACAAGGUA
This 1470-nucleotide ribosomal RNA is filed under the name metagenome. RNAcentral describes it as "bacterial SSU rRNA". It matches the Rfam family "Bacterial small subunit ribosomal RNA". The record is from RNAcentral.